RNAcentral lists this transfer RNA (75 nucleotides) under Clostridiales bacterium. RNAcentral's name for it is "tRNA-Gln". It matches the Rfam family "tRNA". Rfam says of the family: Transfer RNA (tRNA) molecules are approximately 80 nucleotides in length. Their secondary structure includes four short double-helical elements and three loops (D, anti-codon, and T loops). Lineage: Bacteria; Bacillati; Bacillota; Clostridia; Eubacteriales. The record is from RNAcentral.
UGGAGUGUCGCCAAGCGGUAAGGCAUCGGAUUCUGAUUCCGACAUUCGUGAGUUCAAAUCUUACCACUCCAACCA